CAGGUUUUCCUUUUUUCUUCCCAAUUUUAUUCUCUUCUUUGCUCUGCUAAACAGGUUUGCUUUCAAUGGCUAAUUUUAAUUCCUCUUCUUUACCUUCUGUUGUUGUCGUUGCUGCUUGUUCUUUGCUCGAGAAGCCGGUUGCGUUAACGGCAGCUUCAUGUUCAUCGCUGACGUCUUCUAUCGAAGGAGUGCUUGACGACAGUGUCGAAGACGACUGCUAUAUCUGUCUCGAGCCUUUCACUAUACAAGACCCUAUCACUGUAUGAUUCAUUACUCUUUGCUCCUCUUUUGAUUCAACUGUUCUUAUAAUGUCUACUUCACUAAACUUAGCAUUUAUUUCCUUCUCCUCAUACAAUUAAACAAAGCAUAAAAUAAAAUAAAAAUCCCCUUUAUCGUUAAAUUAAGCUCAAAUUAACGUUGCCCACACUAAAUCCAUUUCAAAAUCAGCUAAAAUUAAAAUCUCAAGAACGAAAAAAAAAUUAAAAAACAAAGCAAGGAGCAAAGAAUUGGUGAAAAAGUGGAUGGGUUGAUGAGAAAUAGACCUUUGGGAAAAGGAACGAUGUGGUUUUAUUCGAAAUAAAUGCAACCUUGGCAGUUACAGAAACACUUGCAGACGAUGUUAUCGGCAGCGUCUUUGUGCCAUCGCUCGGGAUGACGACCGGGAACAGUUUCAGCACUGGCCCAGCACUUGCUCUUUGCCUUUGAAUAGAAGAAUCUUGGCCUCUCUUCCUCACUAGGGUGUGCAUAAUUUGGGUAAAACUGAAAAAAUUUGGUUAACCGACCGAAUUCGGUUAAUCGGUCGGGGUCGGUUAAUUUUUUAUGAUUUUUCGGUUAACGGUUAAUUUGGUUCGAAACUGUUCAGUUAACCGAAAAAAUUAAUAAAUAAAAUUAUCCAACCCAACUCAAUUACCAACCUAACCCAAUUACCCAAUCCAGUAAAACUAAAACUAAAGUCUACCUAAUUACCCAACCCAAUAAAACUAAAACUAAAGUCUACCCAAUUACCAACCCAAUUAAUUUCAAGAAUUAUGUAAUGUUUUUAAUUAUGUAGUGAUUCAAAGACUUAUGUAAUAUUUUUAAUUAUGUAGUUAUUCAAUUCGGGUAAUUCGGUUAAUUUUUAAUCAAAAAUAAAAACCAUACAAUUUUCGGUUAAUUCGGUUAACCGACCUAAUUAAUCGAAAAAAUUUCGGUUCGGUUAAUUUUUUUUAAAAAAAAUCAGUUCGAUUAACGAUUAAAAAUUUUGAAAGGUUGGUUAAUUAGGUUAUAGCUAUUUCGGGUUGGUUAACCGAAUGCACACCCCUAUUCCUCACCAUUGCUACUGCAAGAACAAGGCGAAGGCAAAGAGCUCAUCCUUCCACUGGAGAACGAUUAACGCUGGGGUCGAUGGUGCACAAAUAAACGACGAUUUGAAGAGAGGUGGUGGAGAGAAGUGUUCUGGUGGUGCCCAAUCGAAGCUUCGUCAGCUGUACACAAGGCGGUUAGGGUUCAUUCGGGGGAAGAAAAAAAAGGGAAAUUGGGAAGAAGAAAGGAAAAUCGGGAAAAAUAAGAAGAAAAAUGGAUAAAAAUGGAAAUAGAUUUUAAAAACAAUUUUAUUGAUUUUUAAUAUAUUUUUUUAGAUUAUAACAUUAUCAUAAUGUCAUGAACGUCACGUGUUACAAUUUUAUCCUACCACUUAUCCUAAACUUGACGGUGUUACAAAAAGAUACCAAUUUAGUUAACAAAAAAAAUUCAAGUAUCAACUUGAGAUAAAAAAAAACAUAAAGUAUCAAUUUGAAAGUGUUUGACAAGUUUAGAUACUAAUUUUAUAUUUAAACUUUUUUUAUUAUAAUUUUUCAGUAAGGAUAGUAUGGAUGGGAGACAUGAUCGAUAUAUAAAAUCCACUGGCACAUACAAAAGAAGAAAGAAAAUGGGUUGGUGCAUAGUUAUGGUUUGAUUAUAUAUAUACAUAUAAAAGUAUGAGUUUGGAGAAAUCUUUAAAUUGACGAGAUCAAUAUUUUAUUUUUUAUCAUAUCACUAAAUUUACAUUUAAAAAUAAAAAAAAUUGAAAUAAAAUAAAAGUUGUGAUGAUUAUACAUUUUAAAUUAUAAUUCAAUAGAAGUUGUGAUAAUUACACAUUUAAAAAUAAUUAUAAUUUAAUUUACAAUUAUUAGUUUAAAAAGUUGUGCUAAUUUUGAAAUAGAGAUAUUAUUUAAAUAGAAUUUUAAGCAUAAAAUAUAGGGAAAUUUCAUGAUAAUUAUAAUUAUUAAUUAAAAUUUUUGAUAUAAGAAAAGAAGUGCUAAAUCAUAAAACAUUGAAAAAAAUUUGUGAUAAUUAUAAUUAUUAAUUAAAAACAUUAAUAUAAAAAAGAAGUUGUGCUAAUUUUAUUGAAGUAAAAUGGAAGUAUUAGUUAAAUAGAAUUUUAAGCAUCUUAAUUAUGAGAAAUUAUUUUGUACACUGCCACUGUAGUUUUUAUACUCCAUAUAUAGGGUCAGUUGAUUAACAAAUAUCCUGUAGGGGCAUGGUAAAUUAUUUUAAAAAAUAAAUAUUUUUAAAAAAUGAGCCACAUGCCAAUUUUUUAAGGUUACUUAUAGAAUAAAAAAGUAUACUGUAAGUGUACCAAAUAAAAUUAUAACUUUAUUAUUAUUAGAGUUAAUUAGUUAUUGUUUUGAAUAAUAUUACUUGUAUUAAUUAUAUAAAGUAAAACUAUAUUGUAUGUUGAUUAUGUUAAAAAUGCUUUAAUUAUGAUCCGAAAAUUUUCUAUUAUAAUAUUUGGAUUGAUAGGUUAAUUAUUUUAAUUAUAUUCAAUAAUUUAAAUAAGAAAUAUUAAUCUACGUUAAAUACUUCAACUAAGAUUACAAUAUUUAAAAAAUAAUAAUUAAUUAUUAAACGCAUAAAAUCUCAUGCAACGUAUGUAACAUUAAAAACUGAUAUAUAUAUAUAUAUAUAUAUAUAUACAUAUAUAGGCACAAGUUUAAAAAACAACUUUUGAAUCAAAGAGAAUACCCUUUAUUUUCUAUCAUAUUAUGAAAUUGACAUUUAAAAAUAUUUAUAAUUUAUAAUUAUUUAUUUAAAAAAGUUGGUGUAUAAAUAAAAUUUGUGAUAUUUAUACAUUUAACAACGAUUAUAAUUUUAUAUAAGUUGUUAUAGUUACACAAUUAAAAAUAAUUAUAUUUUAAUUUACAUUCAUUAUUUAAAAAAUUAGUUAAAAUAAUUCUAAUUGAAGUAGAAGUUACUUAAAAAAAGUUUUUACAAUUACAAUGAUUUAAAAAAGUUUUUUUUUGUAAUUUUUUAUUUUUUACUUGAUAUUUUUUGCUACAUAUUAAUUAUAUUAUUUACAAAUUAAUAUAGUCAAUUUAUUAACUAUAAAGGAAAUAAAAAUAAAAAUUGAAUAGUGAAGAGUUUAUAUUAUAAUAUAUAUUUUUUAUUGUUUUUAAAAAUGCUUUAAUGAUAAUAAUUUUAUAUUACUACUAUAUUAGAAUUAUCAAAAUACUUAAUAUAUUUAAAAUAAUUUAUUAGUUAUUAUUUUAAAUAAUGAUUAUAUAAAGUAAAAUUUUGUCCUAUGAUUGAAAUAGUGCAAAUGUUUUAAUUAUGAUUUGAUUUUUUUAAUAUUAUUAAAAAGUUUAUAUAUCUACAAAAUAUCAAUCUUUUAAUAUAGUAUAUGAAUUUUUUUUAUUAUAUUUGAAUUUUUAUAUAAAUUAAUAUAUUUUAAUUAUAUUUAACAAUUCGAGUAAUGAAUUAAAAAAUUAAUUAUAAUAAUUAAAAUUAAACACUUAAAAUCACAUGCAAUAGAUGUGCCAUUAGAAACUAAUUUUUUUAAAAGAAAUCAAGUUAAAGCUCGGUUUGAUUCGAUUUAUACAAAUGGUCCAUUUUAUUGUUUACAAAUAAUAAUAAUAAUUAAAAAUUAAAUUUAUAUGAAUAAUUAGAUAUUUUAUAAUUAAACAUAUAAAUAAUAAAUAAAUUUUAAAUUAUUUAAUUUGAAUUCGGGACGAGAUGAGCUAAUUUGAGAUGAAAAAUAUUUUCCAAAAUCGUUUUAAAAUGAGUCGAGCCAACCUAGCCACACGAGCCACUUGGCUGUUGAAGAGGUUUAUGUUUGAUGAUAUGUAAAGAGAAAUUUACUUUCAAGGCAAUAAAAUGCUUUUUUUAUUAACUGAACAGUGAAGGGGUUAGUACACGCAUGGGCAAGCCUAUUUAUAAUAUGAGCCUAAAAUUUUGGCCAAAACUGUCCAUAUUUAUAAAUGGUUAACCCAAACCCAUUUUAGGCUUGGCUGUAUUAUUUUUUUAAAAUACUUAUAUUAUUUUUAUUUAUUAUUAUUUUUAUAAUCAUAACAUUUUUUAAUAUUUAUAUUAUAGUAUUAUUAUAUAUUACUAUCGAUUUAAUUUUUAUGUGUUAUAAAUUACAUAAUAUAUAAAAAUAACAUAAUAUAAAACAUUAUAAACUUUAAAAAAUGGUUAGGCUGGGCUUGAGCCUUGAAUGUUCAAGCUCAAGCCCAAACUAUAUUUUAAAUGGGCCUAAUUUUUUUUUGUCAAAUCCUAUUUUUCGAGCUUAAUCUUUUAAUUCAAACCCUUCUAAAUUUUAGAUGAGUUUUCAGGCUUGGGCUAGUAGCUCGACCCAUUAACAUGUUUAGGUAAGGACAUACUCACACCAUGCACGCACACACUACAUCCAAAGGGAUCUACUCAAAUAAAAGCCUACUACUUGCUCCCCGGAGACUCAAACUCAAGUGAAUUCUAUGCGUGAACAUAUAAUGAUCCGAAAGUUAGUGGUGUCGGAAAAUAUGGUUUCAGAAUAGUAUAAGAAAAUUAAAUUUUGGAUAGCUAAUUUAGUUGAACUAGUGUUUAAUUAAGAUACAAGAACAAAAUUGUAAAAGUAGUAAAAGUCCAAUUAUUAUAGGUUUUUAAUUAGAAACAAGGACUAAAGAUUAAAAUGGCAAUUAGACCAGCCUAAUAUUAAUAGUUGACGGUGAGAGGAAGCAUUAUAAAUUAUAUUAUAAAGUUUUUAUUUAAAUAGUUAAAAUUGUAAUAAAAUAUGAUAAAAAAUAUAGAUGUUGGAAAGAAAGAGAAAACAUUUCUCUCUUUUCUUCCUCAAUAGUCAAAACUUAUAAGGAGAAGGAGGAAGUACGUACGACCUAGGGUAGUAAAAUUUUAAAGCUUCAAAUGGUUAGUUCAAUUUAGUCUCUUUUUUUUGUAAUUUUUAUGUUUUUUAGAUCAUGAGAGCUUAAUCUAACUAGUCCAUGUAUCAAUUUGUAAAAUUAUUAAAGUUUUAGAAAGAUGUCAUUGAUGAUUUUUUGAAGUUUUAGGUAUUAGAAUGAUAGAUUUUAAGCUUAGAGGUGAAAAAGGACUAAAUUGUAAAGUUAAUUGAUAGUUUUGCUUAAUAGGAACUAAAAUGAAUAAAUUGUGAAAUUUCUUGUAGAAAUGAGAAAUAGGAGGUCCUAAGUGGACUAUAGUGAAAUCAGAUUAAAAUUUGGAGUUUUAAAUUGAAAGUUAUGUUAGUCCCGAUUUUAAGGACUAAAUUGAACAAAAUGCAAUUUUUUUUUGUAAACUGACAAUUGAAUCUGAUCUUGAUUAAUUCUUGAUUGUAUUGUAUGUUUAUUUUAAUUUGUAGCUAACGUCGACUUGAAAUCCUCGAAAGAAAAAGAAAAGCUAAAGUUGUCAACGAAUAGCUCGAAGUUCUCGGUUUGUGUUUCUAUAAUUUGAACUAUUUUGAUUGUUGCAUUUUUAUAUUGCUUUGCAUGAUAAGAUUAUGAGGUGAGCUAAAUUUGAUAAAUCGAGUUGAAUUGAUACAAUUUUGAUUUGGUUAAAGAUAUAGAGAGCUAAAUUGAAAAGAAUUGAAAAUAUUGAAUCUUGAUGAAAAUGUGAGAUUGUUCUUGAAUUGAGCUAAUUCGUGAUAUCAUAUAUACGAAAUGAUGAUUGGUUGAUGAAUAAAAAGUGAUGAUGUAUAAAUUGAACUAUAUUCGGAAUUGAAUAAAUUGUUACCCUAUUAACUUUUCGGGUAGAGUUGGAUAUAGUUGGCAUGUCAUAGGAUAGGUAGAGUACGGGUUACUUUGACUACGUGUCGAUGAGGCACUGGGUGUCAAAUCACUUCGGUUAUAUCGAUAAGCAUAGGGCGCAAUUUAUAUACUUCAAAUUUAUCCGAUAAGGCAUUGGGUGCUAAUUUGGUGUGAUUGGUAGGAUCCGUGUAUCCGUUCGAGUUUGAGUCAAGUUAAUAGGGAAUUAAAAUGUAAAAUGCGUAAAAGUAUAUGUAUGAACUGAGAUAAUGGAUGAUUGUGAAAAUUGAAUUUAAGUUUGGAAGAACUAAUGCUAUAGUAAACAAGUGGAUCAAUUCGAUUGAGAUAUGGAAGAUAAAUAUAUAUGAUACACUUAUAUUAGCUUGAUUUAACAUAAGUGAAAUGAAUUGUAAAACAAAAUGAUGCUUUAUGUCAUAUUUAUUGACAUUGAAUUGAAUUGUAUGGCAUUUGGUUAUGUAAACUUAUUUUAUUUAUGUUGUUUAUAAUGUUCAAAUUACAAAAAUAUCAUUGAGUUUAUACUCAGCGUAUAUUUUAUUUUUUGUGCGCAAAUUAGGUUUUGAUCAUAUUCAUUUUA
RNAcentral lists this long non-coding RNA (6558 nucleotides) under Gossypium barbadense (sea-island cotton). Its description in RNAcentral is "long non-coding RNA (GBAR_LNC013800)". Lineage: Eukaryota; Viridiplantae; Streptophyta; Magnoliopsida; Malvales; Malvaceae. The record is from RNAcentral.